Long non-coding RNA from Danaus plexippus (monarch butterfly), 804 nucleotides. RefSeq lists it as uncharacterized. The transcript is spliced from 3 exons. NCBI's taxonomy places the organism in Eukaryota, Metazoa, Arthropoda, Insecta, Lepidoptera, Nymphalidae. The record is from RefSeq and is a predicted model, not a curated record.
AUCGAAUGACGAACGGGAUAUUCUUCGUAUGUAGUGUGAAGGAGCAAACUUGUACUAGGCGUCUUGGUGACAGUGAUUUAAAAUUAAAUAUACAUCAAAGUCGCUUGUUGGAUCGAUGGAGCUCUCCCCGGGCAAACAGCUACCUCCCACGCCUCACUCAACGUCCUACACCCACGACCUCGAAUGGCAUUAAGGAAUAUGCAGUUUGAAACCAGGUUAUAUGGCGCUGGAUCAAUACACGUCCCGGCCAACCUGCUCCUACCCCACCUUAUCCCCCCUUCACCAUCCACGCGUUCAGAUACCAUAUAAAAAUUGUAGUUUAUGAUAAAGUUUUUGAAAAAAAUAUAUAUAUAACAAAACAAUUAAUUCAUAUACCAACAUGAUUGACUGAGACCGCUCCCUUAUAUUAGCAUAAGUAUAUAGUCACAAUUUUCGUCAUUCCAUGGAUUCACCGUGCGGGUUCCGGGUCCAUCGCGUUGCAUUGAGAGGAGCUUCAACGGUCCCUGGGACUUACGACCCAGGUGUAGGUUGAAGGGGACCCUAUCUAACGUGCUAACACUAUAAUUUGAGAAGAUUUAUCAAUGAAAAACACUAACGCUUCGUACGUAGAUGUGAUGUGACGAUGCUAACCUAGAUAAGGCAUGCUGAGAUUAAUAUUGAAAUUGCACAAACCAUUUUGUAAUUGCAACCAAAAAAAUUACAUAUUUUUGUCACAUUUAACUUCUAGUUGUGUAUUGAGCGCUCAAAGUUUAAAUGUGUCUGAUAUUUGUUACUUCUAUUAUCUAAAUAUAAAGAUGUUUACGA